This 72-nucleotide transfer RNA is filed under the name Canis lupus familiaris (dog). It matches the Rfam family "tRNA". From Rfam's summary of the family: Transfer RNA (tRNA) molecules are approximately 80 nucleotides in length. Their secondary structure includes four short double-helical elements and three loops (D, anti-codon, and T loops). The record is from Rfam by way of RNAcentral. Lineage: Eukaryota; Metazoa; Chordata; Mammalia; Carnivora; Canidae. RNAcentral also lists the same sequence under 1 other name.
GCCUGUUUGGCUCAGUCGGUAGAGCGUGUGACUCUCAAUCUCAGGGUGUGAGUUUAAGCCCCAUGUUGGGUA